AGCAGCCGCGGUAAUUCCAGCUCCAAUAGCGUAUAUUAAAGUUGUUGCAGUUAAAAAGCUCGUAGUUGAAUUUCGGGACCAAUAUGUCGGUCGUGCCUCGGUACGUACUGGUGUCAUUGGUUUCUCCCUUCUGAGGAUCCUUGAUGUCAUUAAUUUGGUGUCUUGGGGAAUCAGGACUGUUACCUUGAAAAAAUUAAAGUGUUUAAAGCAGGCAUGCGCUUGAAUACAUUAGCAUGGAAUAAUGAAAUAGGACGUUCGAUUCUAUUUUGUUGGUUUCUAGGAUCGACGUAAUGAUUAAUAGGGAUAGUUGGGGGCAUUAGUAUUCAAUUGUCAGAGGUGAAAUUCUUGGAUUUAUUGAAGACUAACUACUGCGAAAGCAUUUGCCAAGGAUGUUUUCAUUAAUCAAGAACGAAAGUUAGGGGAUCGAAGACGAUCAGAUACCGUCGUAGUCUUAACCAUAAACUAUGCCGACUAGGGAUCGGAUGAUGUUAAUUUUUUAAUGACUCAUUCGGCGCCUUACG
RNAcentral lists this ribosomal RNA (521 nucleotides) under uncultured Glomus. Its description in RNAcentral is "SSU rRNA". It matches the Rfam family "Eukaryotic small subunit ribosomal RNA", at positions 569 to 1092 of the family's 1831-position model. Lineage: Eukaryota; Fungi; Glomeromycota; Glomeromycetes; Glomerales; Glomeraceae. The record is from RNAcentral.